GAAUUGAAAGGUCCUUCGAGCUUAUCCCAAGCAAGAAAAGCGCCUGGCUUUCCUUCUACGCCUCUUGGUCAUAAUUCCCUUGCAGGUCUCUUCCUCGAGGCUUCCCUGCCUUGCAUCAUGUUCUCGAAUUCGGCUAGGUCGCCUAGGGAGCCACACGCUGAUGGCCGGUUCAAGACUGUGAACCGAUUGACUCUAUUAAAAUUCUGGUUUGAACUUCGAUAGGUCGAGGAUCUUCUUUCUGAGAGAUCUACUUCAAGAUCUCUAAAAUGAUCGCUUCGAUUUACGGGAUCCGCUUCCGUUUCGAUUCUAGGGCGUGGCGUUCGUCCAGAGCCAAUUUUUCAGGUUCGGUGUCUGAGAGUUACGAUUUCACGGGAAGGCUUGCUGGUCCCCGCGAAGGCGCUGGAUCUGUGGGGGCGGGAUUGCGGAGAUGAUGUUAUGAAGAUCAAUUGUGGCAGAUCGUUCCAUGUAACUUGUUGAUGUAAAUGGAUGUAUAGGAUAAUAUCAGGACGAAAGGGCCGGAGUUUGAAUCUGGCUGAUGAGUCCUGAUUCAUCUUUGUCAUCCGACCUUUGCCAUGACAGGUGCGCUUGCUUGGCAGGUCACAAAGAACCAUAAUAAAAAAGUUAUACGUUUUUUGGUUGAGGGGGAGAUCGCACGGGAAUUUUGCCCGGGGUCUCCCCACCGGUGUGUGCCGUUUCCCUGUGCUGCUUUUUCUGCGAUCGUUUAUAUUUUCGCUCUCGACGCCCAUGGUUGCUUACCAGGUGAAAGGGGUAGCUGAUAUACAUCAGCCAACAUUACGGCUCAUGCACUCGCAAUUGACAUGGAGUUUGAGCCGAAGCUCAAAAGGGACCAAGGAGCUUGCAACGUCGGUAUGGUAGUUGGUGAAGAUCUUCGAAGUUGUGAUCGGUCUAAGGGCUUAAGACAUCAUCGUUGAUCUCUUCCUCGAGGCUUCCCUGCCUUGCAUUAUGUUCUCGAAUUCGGCUAGGUAGUCUAGGGAGCUACACGCUGAUGGCCGCUUCAAGACUUCGAACCGAUCGACUUCUAUUAAAAUUCUGGUUUGAACUUCGAUAGGUCGAGGAUCUUCGUUCUGAGAGAUCUACUUCAAGAUCUCUAAAAUGAUCGCUUCGAUUUACGGGAUCUGCUUCCGUUUCGAUUCUAGGGCGUGGCGUUCGUCCGGAGCCAAUUUUUCAGGUUCGGUGUCUGAGAGUUCUGAUUUCACGGGAAGGCUUGCUGGUCCCCGCGAAGGCGCUGGAUCUGUGGGAGCGCGAUUGCGGAGAUGAUAUUAUGAAAAGAUCAAUUGUGGCAGAUCGUUCCAUGUAACUUGUUGAUGUAAAUGGAUGUAUAGGAUAAUAUCAGGACGAAAGGACCAGAGUUUGAAUCUGGCUGAUGAGUCCUGAUUCAUUUUUGUCAUCCGGCCUUUGCCAUGACAGGUGCGCUUGCAUGGCAGGUCACAAAGAACCAUAAUAAAAAAGUGAUACGUUUUUUGGUUUGAGGGGGAGAUCGCACGGGAUUUUGCCCGGGGUCUCCCCACCGGUGUGUGCCGUUUCCCUGUGCUGCUUUUUCUGCGAUCGUUUAUAUUUUCGCUCUCGACGCCCAUGGUUGCUUACCAGAUGAAAGGGGUAGCUGAGAUACAUCAGCAGAAUUACGGCUCAUGAACUCGCAAUUCACAUGGAAUUUGAGUAGUUGGUGAACAUCUUGGAAGUUGAGUUAAAUGGUCUGAAGCUGCUUGACAUAAGGGCUUUAACUGGACGUCAGCGUCGGAGGCAAGAUGCUCUUCCAAGAUCAAGGAAACUUACCCACACCUUGUGGGCAAGAUGCUCUAAUGAGAGAGGAUUUGUAAUAGUCCGACAUGUUAAAGGAUAUGUAACAGAGUCUUGGGCUUGUGGGCCUUAUUGUUGUUUUGCUAUGUUAUUUUUCUUAGCCUGCUUGUAAUUUGUUGGACCUAAAUGUAGUUAACGGGCUGAGCCCAUAGAGUAGGUGUGACGGCCCCAAUCUCCGCUUGGGAGAUGGAACGGAGACUUAGAGCGUCGGGACAUGCAACACAAAGUUACAUACCCUCGUACAUGACAGUUAAUAUGUAAUGCAUCUUAGUAUGCAACUAAUAGUAUGCACUAUUCGCAGC
Molecule: long non-coding RNA, 2120 nt
Organism: Juglans microcarpa x Juglans regia
Lineage: Eukaryota; Viridiplantae; Streptophyta; Magnoliopsida; Fagales; Juglandaceae
Exons: 9
Source: RefSeq, a predicted model, not a curated record